Molecule: ribosomal RNA, 253 nt
Filed under: uncultured bacterium
Lineage: Bacteria
Description: partial 16S ribosomal RNA
Rfam family: Bacterial small subunit ribosomal RNA
Source: RNAcentral
UACAGAGGUGGCAAGCGUUGUUCGGAAUUACUGGGCGUAAAGGGCGAGUAGGCGGCCUUCUAAGUCAGACGUGAAAUCCCCCGGCUUAACCUGGGAACUGCGUCUGAUACUGGGAGGCUCGAGUAUGGGAGAGGGAUGUAGAAUUCCAGGUGUAGCGGUGAAAUGCGUAGAUAUCAGGAGGAACACCGGUGGCGAAGGCGGUUCUCUGGGCAUGUCCUGACGCUGAGGAGCGAAAGUGUGGGGAGCGAACAGG